Molecule: ribosomal RNA, 465 nt
Filed under: uncultured bacterium
Lineage: Bacteria
Description: partial 16S ribosomal RNA
Rfam family: Bacterial small subunit ribosomal RNA
Source: RNAcentral
GACGAACGCUGGCGGCGUGCUUAACACAUGCAAGUCGAACGGAAAGGCCCUGCUUGCCGGGUACUCGAGUGGCGAACGGGUGAGUAACACGUGGGUGAUCUGCCCUGCACUUCGGGAUAAGCCUGGGAAACUGGGUCUAAUACCGGAUAGGAGCCAUUUUUAUUGUGAUGGUUGGAAAGUUUUUUCGGUGUAGGAUGAGCUCGCGGCCUAUCAGCUUGUUGGUGGGGUAAUGGCCUACCAAGGCGGCGACGGGUAGCCGGCCUGAGAGGGUGGACGGCCACAUUGGGACUGAGAUACGGCCCAGAAUCCGACGGGAGGCAGCAGGGGGGAAUAUUGCACAAUGGGCGCAAGCCUGAUGCAGCGACGCCGCGGGGGGGAUGACGGCCUUCGGGUUGUAAACUCCUUUCGCUGGGGACGAAGCUUUUUGUGACGGUACCUAGAGAAGAAGCACCGGCUAACUACGUG